Molecule: long non-coding RNA, 897 nt
Filed under: Homo sapiens (human)
Lineage: Eukaryota; Metazoa; Chordata; Mammalia; Primates; Hominidae
Description: ZNF529 antisense RNA 1, transcript variant 11 (ZNF529-AS1)
Source: RNAcentral
AAACGUAGUCCAACAACGAAAGAGCCCUGAAGCUCAAGCGGAGCCCGCUGGCCGCAGGGGCCGCACCACGCCCCAGACCCUGGAGUUUCCGGGUGCGCAGACCCUUGCCAUCAGCAGAGGCUGCCGCUGCGCGUCCCCUAGGCGCGGAAGAGGCGGCUGGUGGUCCCUGACGGCAAGGUUUUAUACAUUACGAAUAAAGCUGGCACGUUUCCAUUUCUCCUGGGCAAAUAUUUAGAAGAAAAGUUGCUGGGUAAUUGGUGGAGACAAGGUUUCGCCACAUUGACUGGGCUGGUCUGGAACUCCUGAGCUCAAGCAACCGGCCCUCCUUGACCUCCCAAAGUGCUAGGAUUACAGAAGCACUGAGACCACAGAGGCAAGAGCUGGGGAAGGAAAACUGCCCAUGAGAUGAGAUGUGCCUCUCAGCUUCCAAAAUCGGGGAGGGUUGCAAAGGGAUGACACCAUCCACACCAGAACUGCAUGAAUGGCAUCAGGAAUGAUCAGAGACCAUAAAUUCCAGUGAGACCAAUAACACCAUUUCUGGUCCUGCAUGCUCUUCCAAACUUUGCCACUAACCCCUUCAAGAGGCUAGGUUAGAAAAGGCAACAGAACUUCAUCCUAAUCUCUCUCAAGAUGCCCCCCAUGGAAUCCAGCCAUCAUGCUGUGAGGAAUCCAAGCAGCUACAUAGAAAGGCCACAACUAGAUAUUCCAGCUGUAGUCAGCUGAAGCUCCAGCCAACAGCCAACAUCAACCACCACACGUGAAAACGAGCAAGCCUUCAGAUGAUUCCGACUCCCAACCUCCAAGCCACCUCAGCUGAAGCCAAGUAGAGCAGAGACUAGCUGUCCCCCAAUGCUCUAAUAUGCAGAUUCAUAAUUAAAAAGAAUGUUAUUGUUCUAA